AUACCGAGGUGGCAAGCGUUGUUCGGAUUUACUGGGCGUAAAGGAUGCGUAGGUGGUUUUGUAUGUCAGAUGUGAAAGCUCACCGCCCAACGGUGAAAGUGCAUUUGAAACUACAAGACUAGAGUACAGGAGAGGAGAGUGGAAUUCUUGGUGUAGCGGUGAAAUGCGUAGAUAUCAAGAAGAACACCGGUGGCGAAGGCGACUCUCUAGACUGAUACUGACACUGAUGCAUGAAAGCUGGGGGAGCGAACAGGAUUAGAUACCCGAGUAGUCC
Molecule: ribosomal RNA, 274 nt
Filed under: uncultured bacterium
Lineage: Bacteria
Description: partial 16S ribosomal RNA
Rfam family: Bacterial small subunit ribosomal RNA
Source: RNAcentral